CCGCCUCUUCCCCUCCCAAGACCCCACCCUCGACAAAACCUUCGCAAAAAACCUCUACAAAACUUGCCCCACUUCCAAUGCCAAUGCUACCACUGUGCUUGACAUUCUAACCCCAAAUGCAUUUGAUAACAAAUACUAUGUUGACCUCAUUAAUCGACAAGGUCUGUUCACUUCCGAUCAAGAUUUGUUUACUGACAAGCAGACGAGAUCAAUCGUCACCAGCUUUGCCGCGAACCAGUCAUUGUUUUUUGAGAAGUUUGUGUUGGCGAUGAUCAAGAUGGGGCAGAUGAGUGUGCUUACUGGGGUACAGGGAGAUAUUAGGGCUAAUUGCUCUGCAAGGAACCCUUCAAGGUUUGUGGUACCCUUUGGUGGAGGGGGACAAGAGGGAGUUGCUGCCUCCUUUUAGAUUGUGUACAAGACCCUUUGCUUUACUAAGAUAACAGUUCUAUCAGACAAUUUACGUAAAAAAUGGAUUAGGGUUGGUCCUUUUUGGUCUGUCCCCCAUUUCCAUUGUAUUCAACUGGUAGGACAUUAAAUUUCUUUGCAAGGAUGCCCAUAACCUGGUAUGUAAUUUGAAGUUCUGAUUUUUUCCAAUGAGAAAGUACAUGGGUUUCUUCAUAUGGACUAUACAUGAUAAGACGGUUCCUAUUUAACUAUCAACUUGUUUGUUAAACUUUUCAAAAUUGCAAUUCGUUUGAUAUUUCACAUCCAUAGCUACCCUCUUCCACUUUGACCAAAGUUUGAAAAUUUGGCCUAGUCGACUCUUAAUUGUUAAUGGUGAUUUGUGAGUUUUUUUUAUCACUCGUUUCAUUUUUUCUGUUUCCUCUUCUUUUUUGGAUUUUCAUGAAUUGUUUUUAGUUAUAACUCAAACCUUAGUUUCAUCUAUAUCUUCUAAAAAAAUGAAUGAAUGUUUUAUUUUGGAAGGUUUAAAUAAAUUCAAGGAUAUUGUGUUUGAUAAUAUAUAUAUAUAUAUAUAUAUAUUAACAAUAUAAAUAUAAAUAUAUUAUAUUAUAUUAUAUAAUAAAUAUUAUGUAUUAUUAUAUUUUGCAUAAUAUAAUAUUACAUAUGAUAUAAUAAAAGGAUGGAAAAAGUUUAUAUAAGGAUGCAACCUUAUAAUGUAGAACUACGGAUGCACUUCAAAAAUCCAUCGAAAAAUGUAGUUUUAAUGUUGAAAAACCUUUUGAUUGAUCAUCUCGACAUCGAGAUGUAUGACCAUGAAAAAUAAAAAGAUUUUAAGUCUCGAAAAUAGUGCAUGUUACAACAUAUUAUCUACACCAUCCAUUUUCAAUAUUUUCAUAUGUUUAUAGAUUAACUUGAUUUUAACCAUUUUUUAAAUUUAAAAUUUUAUGAUUAGAUAUAAAAAUAGAUUUUGAGAUAAUCCUAAGAGCAUUUUACAUCAAAAUUAUAUGCCAUAUUAAAAUUUGAAGGUGCACCUUACCUCUACAGCUACGGAUGCAUCUGUAUGCUAACUGCACCUUAAAAGGAUUGUAUGCAAUGAGACCACUUACUUUUGAUACAAAGAGGUCACAGUUAUUACAACCAUCCAAUGUGAAAUUUGAUAGCUUAGAUGUGUCACAAAGUUCGAGAAAAUUUCUUUUGAAGUUUGAGCUUGGUGAAUGGAAUAUAUGCAGCCAUCCAAAUUCACAUCCAAUGGUGACGAUUAUUUGUGGCCAUCUUGUACCAAAGGUAAAUAGGAUCGUUAUAUAUUUUCCUUAUAAUAAAUAUAUAUUAUAUAUAAUACAAUAUAAGAUACUUAUAUAUUAUAUAUAAUAUAUAAUAUUAGUAUAUUAGUAUAUUUUAUAUUGCAUAUAAUAUAUAAUCAAUGCAUAUUAUAUAAUGUAAAUUACAUUAAUAAAAAUAUAAAUAUAUAAUUUAAUAUAAUAUUACUAUAGCAUAAUAUUAUAUUAUAAUAUUAUAGUAAUAUUAUAUUAUAUUAUAUCAUAUUAAUAUUAUUAAUAUUAUAUUAUGCAUAGUGAAUAGUGAUAAACAAAAACGUUCUAAAAUAUUAAGUUCAUAUUCCCCUCGAACUUAAUCUUUCAUGUUUUAACAAAGGAAUGGAAAUUUUCUUGGAAUAUUGAUUUUUGAACUUUUAGAUGGAAACAGUAUGUCAAACGCGAAACUUUUGAAAAAUUAGAAAGAUUUCUUACUUAAAAAAUUCUUUCAGAAAAACAAAUGCACCCCUAGUGCUUAAAAAAUCGACUUGCCCCUUGCCCGAGCCUAAUCCAGUUCUAGUUCAAAAAAAUAAAAAGUCAAAAACUUAAUUUAUAUAUCGCAGCCUUUGCUUCAAUGAUGUUAGACGUUAAAUGACUUGAUGGUUAGGUCUUCCACACUUGGGGUUUCUCCAUACGAAAUGACUUGAGUUCAAAUCAAGGGUCAACUCAUUUUCAAUUUAUGUUUUUUUUUUUUUUAAAGUGUAAUGUAGGAAUAUACACAUACUUGUCAUGAUAAGGAAAUUUUGGUAGCAAGUUCUUUUUUUUUUUUUAAAGUGUAAUGUAGGAAUAGACACAUACUUGUCAUGAUAAGGAAAUUUUUAUAGCACGUUGAUUAAAGGGUUAAGCUCGUACAUUACCUCCUUUGUCAGAGGUCUUAGAUUUGAAUCCUUUUCCCAAACAAAUUUUCCUAUUUUUUUUAAAAAAAAAUGAAGAAAAAUAAAUGUUUAACNNNNNNNNNNNNNNNNNNNNAUAUAUAUUUAUAUAAACGUCAAGUUAGUUCUGAAUUUUCAGAAAUUAAAAUUAAUCUCUGCAUGGUCCACCAAGAUCACCCUGAAAGUCGCAAUUGUUCUCGCUAGGGUUUGAAAACUCGUCGAGUCGAGCCGGACUCUCCCGGUUCGACUCAGGAAUCGUCUGCUACCGAGCCGAUUCCACAAAAAAACCGGGAAUCGCCCAUAUCUAGAGAAAACCGGGCUAUUCCCAAUAGUGAAUCGCGAGUCGAUUCCCAACAGUGAAUCGCAAGUCGAUUCCCAACAGUGAAUCGCAAGUCGAUUCCCAACAGUGAAUCGCGAGUCUCACCAAAAAAACCUAGGCAUUCUAGUCAUUUUUGGGUUUAUACGUGGCCGCCUCGCGGGAGCAACAUGUGGCACCUAAAAAUCCUCCACACGAGAUAACUCACCUCACAUGUCUGCCCCUCCACUUUUCUACACGUGCAGCACAAUAUCUAUUACACAGGAAUUUAUAGAGAACAAAGCGACGCUCAUCCUUCGAUAUGGGAUAAUUCCCAUAAAAAAUCAUUAAAACAAAAGAUUGAAUAUAUAUUAUUAUAGAAGCUAAUAAAAUCACAUUAGGGGACGUGGCAGUGUUGGUUGACAACUCCGAUUUUUCGGUGGAUAUUUAGAGUUCGAACCUUAGCGCACGUCCUCGUUUAUUUUUGUUGUCAAAAAAAAAAAUAAAGGCAGAAAAUACUGUUGUAAAAAAAUAGAAAAACUAAAAAAUAAAAGGCUUUUCAAGAUAAAGAUAAAAAAGACAAUGCAACAUUUUUUUAUUUUUUUUGUAAAAAAAAUACAAGAUAAUAUAACAAGUAUUUCUUGCAAAAAAACAAAACGAAAGGCAUAAAAAAAUAAAAAAUACAACAAGCAAAAAAAAUUUAGUACAACAUCUUCUUCUUUUGUCAAAAAAAAAGAAAAGAUAAUCAACAAGUAUCAUAUUUUUCUUGUAAAAAAAAAUAAAAGAUAACACAAUAAGUAUUUCUUGUCAAAAACAUAAAAGGUAUUUCUUAAUACAACCUAGGAAUAAAUGGUCUAAUUAUAUUUUUUAUGUUUAUAACAUGAUGGUCUUUAACAUAAAUUUAGUAAUAUUAAUUUAAAUAUAGGAUUCAUACAAUGAGACCAUUUGAAAUCUCUCUCUUUCUACUAACAACCUCUUGGACUAAUUUAUUCUAGAAACCUAAAAAUUUAAAGAAAAUUGGUACGCAUUCUAAUAAUUUCGACAUUGAUAAGCAAAUUUUUUAUUUUAUUUAUUAAUUUUUGUAUUAUAAUUCAUGUAGUGUACUACUUUUCUUACAGUUGUCAAUAAUACAUUUUAAAUUAGAUGAUAUUAUAAAAUAUUUUGGAUUUGUUAUUAGUUUUAUAAUAAAAUAAUUAUAAAAUAUAGUUGGUAUAUAAUAUUAUAGUUAGUUAGGUUGUAAUAAUUUGGGUUUUUUUAGCGGAUUAGGGUUUUUCGUCAAUUCGAGAUUUUAGUGGCCAAUUUUUCAUCGAUUCAGUCAACUCUUUAUUGUAGUCCAUAUAUGAUUAUAUACUUAAUUCAUGAUAAUUCUAUGAUUUCUUUUGUGUGAUGUAAAUUUAAUGGUCAACAUAAGUUCAUAUAGGGAAAGAACAUCUCAAUAUUCAUAAAUUGAUGAAAACAAUGAAAGUUAAUAAUGUACUACCCUCAUUUCUUAUUGCAUUCCUAAAAAACAACAUUUAUAAUGAAUUUUAAUAAUUUUUUCAAGGCUUAAUCCAAGCGAUUCGGCCCUAUUCCCGAUCCGGAUAGCCGAUUCGUCGAUCCGGAUCGGUUUUUGAGAUGCCCGAUCUGGGUCAUCGAUCCGUUUUUUAAACCACUAACACUCGUGGGUAUUUGUUCAUCUACUCCCUCAAAUAACACCCUGCCAAGGAUAAAUUUUAGGAUCCCAAAUUUUGGGGAUACAACCUCUUUAACACUUGGAUUAACCGUUACUAAAGAAAAUUCCUAAUUGCAUCCUCCAAACACUUGAAAAACUAAUGCCUCAAGAUUGAAUAGAAACCAUCUAGUUUUUCAAAGAGUGAGAUCUAAGUGCUAGAAAACUCAAAUUUUACUUUUGUUUUAUUUUAACAGUAAUCAUCUAGUGAUCCUAAAGUGGUUUCCAAAUUUUCAAAUUGAAAAAAAUCCUCCCAAGGUUGGUCAUCUGACGAGCGAGUAGAAGCAGACUUUGAGGAAGCAUAAUACACGUUUUAAAAAAAAAAGACAAAAAAAAGUUGAGAGUUUCGCUUCACUUCCUUCCAAAGCCUAUAAUCCCAUUUUGAGCUUUUGACCUAUUUCUAUUGGAUGAAAUUCCUAUAAAGCCUAGUUUUAUAAAAACAAAAUAAAGCCUUACCUCAAAACUUUUUCCGGAAAGCAUUUUCGGUACAGAAACAAUUAUGAUGGUUUUAAAAUCAAUUUUUAAAACUUAAAAAAAAAAUACAAUAUUACGGAUAUGUGAACCGUUAUUUUUAGGACGAAAUAAACAAUCUAGAUAAUUUUUUAUACUAUUCCCUAUUUGUCGAGUUUAAAAUCCUAAUUUUUUUUCACAACUAUAAUAUUCAAACCAAGAUGAUCAAUCUAAACGUUUUUUUUAUGCUUGAAUUGCAACUUUUCAAUGAGAUAAGGCUCAUUUUCCUUUUCUAUAACUAUAAUAGUGCAUCAUGUAUUAUAGCAUGAGCGGCUAUCCAUAAACAAUGUUAUUAGACUGUGCCCACCACAUGCCCCUCCAUUUACUGCUCAUCCUUUUAUUUAAACUUUCUCUUUGGAGCCAUGCGGCAGCCCUAAUUCUACAUUAGAGAAUCUUUGCUCCUCUCUCUCUCAUGAUUCUAGAGAGACGCCUCUGCCCCUCCUCUCUCUCUCUCUAUUUUUAUGUGUCCAUAAUUUUUUUGUCAAGCACAUGACUCUGUCCAUAAUUUUUUAGAUAGAUUACGCACAUGAUUUUACAGAAGUACAUUUCUUUAUCCAUAUCUAUUAGAACUCAUCCAUUACAAAGUCUUUCUUUAACACAUUAGUCACAAGACUUGUUGCCUCACAUGUCUAUAAAUGCCCCCACCAUUCUUUCUCUAAACCAGUGGGACCAGUUACUGUAAAAUCAAGAGAGAGAAAGGCUUUUAUCUCUCAUAUCAAUGGCUGUCUCUAAAGGGUUUUUGGUGUUAUUGUCCCUGGCCUUUGUGGUGGCCAUAUCCACCAUUGCAAGAGCUCAGACCUUUGAGCCUCCCAUUGUGCAUGGGCUUUUCCUAUCUCAGUGGUUGGUGCCCUUUGGUGGAGAGGGAGAAGAGGGGAUUGUUGCCUCCUUUUAGAUUGUGUAGAAGGCUUUACUAAUAAAACAGUCCUAUUAGGACAAUUUACAUAAAUAUGGAUUAAGGUUGGUCCUUUUUGGUUUGUUCCCCAUUCCAUUGUAUUCACAAGGUAGGACAUUUGUGAAACUUUGGAGGAGCGCUUUGAAUGGAAACGAAUUUUCCAAUAAUACAUACUACCCAAAAAUGGGUAUUUGUAGAGAAUACAAGAGUUUAAAAUCCCACAAUUGUAGGGAUCUAUACACCAAUACAAAACCUAAAGGUUGCAAUUCCUUAAUUGUAGGGAUAUAUACAUCAGUACAAAUUGAAUGAGAUAGGACUCAUUCAAAUGUGGGCUGAGAAAGAAACGAUAACCUGAGGUUUACCGAGUCUCUAGCCAUAAUACUCCGCCUCAAAUUGGUGUGUGUAAGUAGAUGACACCCAACUUGGAUUGUAAAUGAGUUAAUUUCUUUUUUUCGAGAGGCUUGGUAAAUAUAUCUGUUCGUUGAUUACUUGUUUGGAGAUAUUGAGUUUGGAUGAUACCUGCAAGUAACUUCUCACGAACAACAUUACAAUUCAGCUCUAUGUGUUUGGUACGUUCAUGAAAGACAGGGUUGAAUGCAAUGUGUAAGACAGCUUGAUUAUCGCAGUAGAUGAGCAUGGGCUAUGAAUGUGGAACUCCUAAAUCUUGAAGGAGAUUUUUAAACCAAAUGAGUUCACACGUAGUGCUGGCCAUAGCCUGAUACUCGGCUUCUGCAGAUGAGCGAGAUGCAGUGGAUUGUUUCUUGGUUCGUCAAGAGAUGGGGUUGUUUCCAAGAAAUGUACAAUAUCCAAUUACAGAAUGACGAGUAGUAGGGCAGCUGGCUCAAUCUAAUUCACAAUAUGCAGAGAGCUGCAAGGAAUUUGACGAUGGCAUGAGGAUGCCUUUUUCAGGGAUUUGAUUUUAAAUAUCUGAGAACACGCAUAGCUGCAUCCAUAUGACGUUGUCUCGGUGUUUGCAUGAAUGGACUAAGGACAUUGACAGAGAAUGUGAUUUUCGAUCGGGUAAUGGUUAAGUAAAUCAGACGCCCAACAAGUCGUCAAUAAGAGCUUGGGUCUGAAAGAAGAGCUCCAUCAUCUGCAAUGAGUUUCAGAUUUUGUUCUAUGGGAAAUGCGGCGGGUUUUGCCCCGCGUAAGCCUGUUUAUUCCAAAAUGUCCAAAGUGUAUUUCCGUUGGGAGAUAAAUAUUCCCUCUUUCGAUCUAGCUGCUUCGAUUCCCAAAAGAUACUUAAGGAAUCUGAGAUCCUUUAAUUUGAACAGACGAUGCAAAAUUUGUUUUAUGGAAUCAAUUGUAGAAGGAUCAUUCCCGAUGAGAAUGAUGUUGUCAACAUAGAUAAGAAUGACUGUAAUCCGGUCUUGAGUUCUGAGAGUGAACAUGGAAUAGUCUGCUUUGGAUUGUUGAAAACCUGCUUGAAUAAGGGAAGUAGAGAAUUUGAAAAACCAUCUUCGAGAUGCUUGUUUGAGGCCGUAUAAAGAUUUCUUUAGGCGACAAACAAGUUGUUCUUCAUGCUCCCCCUUUCGAGGAAGUUCAGGAAGCAAUUGCAUGUACACUUCUUCAGCUAGGUCACAGUGGAGGAACGCGUUAUUAACAUCUAAUUGGAACAAAGGCUAAGAUUUAACAGCUGCAAUGGCAAGGAGGCAUCGGACGGUGACAAAUUUGGCCACAGGAGCGAAUGUCUCGUGGUAAUCAAUGCCUUCAGCUUGGGUGUAACUUUUUGCUACAAGUCGUGCUUUGUAGCGUUGAAUGCUUCCAUCUACAUGGUAUUUGAUUUUAUACACCCACUUGCACCCGAUGGCAUAUUUGUCUUGUGGCAAGGGUGUGACGAUCAAAGUAUUAUUGGAUUCAAGCGCUCUUAUCUUUGCAGUCAUGGCAUCUCUCCAACAGGCAUCUUUCAUGGCAAUGGUAAAAUUUUUGGGCUCAUGGUUAGAUGAUAUAGAAGCAAGGAAGACACAAUGUGAGGAGGAAAAUAUGUCAUGCGAGAUGUAAUGAGCAAGGGGAUAGGUGAUACCUGUUAGUUGACCAUGCGAAGAUGUGGUAUUGGUCCUAGGUGAAGAGAGUGCUGGAGAGCAUUGAUAAUCUGCAAGCCAUGGGCGAACGAGGCAUUCUUGAGGAUUUGUGAGGCAGUUCAUUAGUAGGAGGGAUUGAAUCCAAUAGCGUUGGUUCAGCUGAUGGCAAAUUCAUAAUUGGGGUAGGUGGUCGUAAUUCGAGAAGUUGAGUGGAAGGGUUUGGGUAAGGAGAAGAAGGCACAACAUAAGUUAGUUGAAAAGGUGAAGGAAAAUGAUUUAUCUCAAUGUCCUCAAUGAGUGGGAGGGGCAUAGAUAAAGAAGGAGAGAGGUCCUUGGUUUUGCCUUUUUCAAUAAGAAAUGAGAAGAUAUUCUUGUAGAAAGUGACAUCUCUACUGACAAUGAAUUUGUGGUCAUCUAAGUCAAAUAGCCUGUAUCAUUUCUAAACAUAAGGGUACCCAAUAAAGAUACACUUGCGUGCAGGAGGAGAAAACUUAUCAUGUACUUUGGUGUGAGCAUAACACAAGCAGCUGAACACACGUAGGUGCUGGUAAGAAGGUCUAGUGUUAAACAAGGUCUCAUGGGAUGAACGUCCUUAUAAAACAGAAGAAGGUAAUCUGUUGAUUAGGUAUGUGGAGGUUAAAACACAUUCUCCCUAGAAAAUGAUGGGUAGGCCAGCUUGAAAGCGAAUGGCUCUUGCUUUUUCAAGUAGAUCCCUAUGCUUGGGUUCAACCACUCCAUUUUGUUAGGGAGUGUGGAUGCAAGAUCUUUGGUAUAAGAUGCAUUUCUCACUCAUAAAACUUUGCAUUUGAUGAGAAAGAAAUCUAGUGCCAUUGUCGGAUCUAAGGGUUUCAAUGGUCGAGUUGAAUUGGUUUUGAACUAUAGCAUAAAAAUGUUUGAUAUGGCAAAAUGUUUCACUUUUGAAUUUCAUUAAAAAAGUCCAUGUGCAGCGGCUAAAAUCGUCUACAAUAGUUAAAAAAUAGUGUGCUCUAGUGUGUGUUCGUGCUGUGUAUGCUCCCCAAAUAUCAUAAUGAAUAAGCUCAAAAAGAACAUAACUUUUAUUAGAACUCAGAGGAAAUGGAUUUCUAGUUUUCUUGGCCACAGGGCAAAUUUCACAAGGACAACAACUAUUUUCUGAAAAAGAAAAAGAUAAGUCUUUGGAUAACUGCCGCAAGCACUGGUUGCAUGGGUGACCAAGGCGGUUGUGCCAGAGGUGAAAAGAGGAGGUUUGAUUGCAGAAACUUUUUAUUCUUGGAGCCUUGUAGAAAUAAAAUCUGUCACGUUCUUCACCCAGACCAAUCACCAUCUUUGUUGCUAGGUCCUGCAAUAUGUCGUAAUCAGGGAAAAAAAUAGCAUCACAAUUAUGAGAUUUGGUUAGCUUACUCACGGAUAAUUGGUUCAAGUCAAAAGAAGGUAGAUAUAAAAAUCAGUAAGUUGUAAUGAUGGUGAAAGGCAGCAGUUUCCUUUAAGAGAAACGUUAACUAUAUCACCAUUUGGAAGUCUGACAUUUUUGUUUGGAUGCAUGCUAUUUUUGCUUGACAAAUGGUCUAAUGAGAAUGCUAUGUUAUCAAAUACCCCCGUAUCAAUGAUUCUUGAUGAUGAAAGAGAUGGUAAAGAAACACAAGACAUAGACAUACCUGCUACGUCGGCAGCCUAUUGUUAAUGUUCAACAAGGAUAUAAGUUGGGAAUGUUGCUCUCGAGAGAAGUGAAUAGCUAUAGAGUUUUCGACAGAUCUAUUGCUGUCCUUAUUGCUAGCGUUUGCAGCAGUAGCAUUGUAACAAGGAGCUUGCCAUCCAUGGAGUUUGCGACAUCGAUGCCGGACAUGCCCAAAAUAUCAGCAAUGAUCACAACGAGGUCUAUCGCGUCCUCGGCCUCCACGGCCAUUGCCUCUUCCACGGAAUUCGUUGGCGUCAUUGUUGUCUGAAUGAGCUCUGCCACGACUAUUUCCACCGAAGUUACCCCCAGCCAUAGCAGCUCCUUCCAAGGGAUGUGCGGAACGAAGUUCUACUGCUAGUUGUCGUUCAUCAUGAAGAAUCAAAGCAUAUGCUUUGUUCAUGGAAGGCAAUGGAUCCAUAGUGUGGAUGUUGCUCCUCACAUUGGAAAAAUAGUCAUUCAAGCUCAUCAAGAACUGAAACACCCUUUCAUUUUGUUUCAAUUGGGUGAUUUCUUAUACAACACCACAGGAGCAUUUUGGGGUGAGAGUUAGGGAAUCAAUCUCAUCCUAAAAUCCUUUAAGUGUGGUGAAAUAUUGCAGGACAAUCAGCUGAUCCUGAACGUGAUUUGAAAUGUCACGAGUAAUGCGAUAAAUCUGAGCAACAUUGCCUUAUGAAAAGCAUUCUUGCAGGUCCUCCCAUAUUUCUUGCGCGGUUUCAAAGUAGAAAACGUUGUUGGUGAGAUCCUUGCUGACAGUGUUCCAAAUCCAGGAUAAGACCAUGGUAUGGCAACGAUUCCAAGCAGUGUGGUUGGAUGCACGUUUCUUCGACUGAGCAAUGGUGUCGUUGAUGAAACCAAGUUUGUUCUUGGCAUCGAGAGCAAUUUCAUGGCUCUCUUCUAAAGUGGAUAAUUUCCUCCGGUGAGUUGUUUAGAAACCAGCAACAUUCCUGGGUUGUCGGAGUGAUGAAGAUAGAAGGGAGAAGAUGGAUCGGUGACUUCUCCAUACGGUACAGUAGACAUGAUUGAAAAAGACAGAAAGUUGCAGAAAAAAUAACAUCAGAGAUUUUUUUUUUUGAUGACUUGCUUUCUCUAAACAACAGCGGGUAGAUAGAGAGAAACUCGUGCUACCAAAAAGGGUUAAGAAAAGGCUCCAAGCAGCAGCAGAACUUGCUUUCUCUAAAGCAGCAGUGGGUAGAAAGAGAAACCCAUGCUACCAAAAAAAACACCGCCAAUUUUGAAGACCCAAUAACAAAAAAGGUGGUUUCGAAAACCUUAGAGAGAGGGACAGAUUUCCUAUUGCAAACUCUGUGGAGCAACAAUGACGAGAGCACCGCAAACUUUGGGACAUGUAGACACCCCAUUUUAAAUUUGAAAAAUUCUAUGAUUUCUGGACCCCUUAAGACCACAUUAUCCUCGUAAACCCAAAAUCCAUAGUUCACACAGCCUACAAUAUGACCCAGAACCAGUUCGCCUAAUCGAAGCCCUGCAAAAGUCCUGUUUUGACCCAGAAUCCUACAAGCGCCCAAACAACUCAUAAAAAAUAGUAAAAAAAAAUCCAGUUUGACCCAAAUUUUCUUUGAGACCUUCACAAGAGGCUAAGGAAAACACCCAAAAUGAAAAAAAGUAAUUUGGACAAGUUUUGAGUUGGAUGACACUAGUCGUGUCGCCCAGCCUGGACUGGGUGACACUGGCAGUGUCGCCCAAGUCAUCUUAUAAAUGCCCUGUUUUACCAAAAAAUUCAUUAAAAAUAGUUAAAAAAAAAAUCAGUUUUGACCCAAAUUUUUUCUGGUAGUUUCACAAGAGGCUAAGGAACACACCUGAAAAAAAAAAUAUUUUAAUUUUGACACUUUUUUACUUGGGCAACAUGAGCCAUGUUACCCAGCCUAGACUGGGUGACACUUCCCGUGUCGCCCAGAUCCAAGACCUCUAAAACCCAUUUUUUUGGAUAUGUACAUGUUGGUUACGUAAGGUUAUCCUUCCCAACCGAUUUUGACCCCUAUAAAGCCUCUUUUCGUGGCCAUUUGAUGGUAGACAGUGAUAAAAAACCUCAGAGAGAUUAGAAACCCUAGAAAUUGUUUCAGAAACCCUAGUCUCCUGAGACCCUAACCCUGAAACCUAAGAAAGCCUAGACCUAGGACACAAUAAUCUUAGAUUGGAACUAGACUUAGAGAACAACAACCCUAGAUCUAACCCUUUACACCAGAGACUGACUGGUCGACAUCCGAAUCACAAAGGCAAAAGAGGACCGGUUCUGAUACGGGCGAGCCCUCGAAGACUUGGGAGUCCCGGGCGCCAUCUGCCUCGAUUUGGUAAUGUUUAUUCACUUUUCCUUCUUCUUCUUUUUACUAUUUUCGUUCAUUUUGAUCUAUUUUGAUUAUUUUACUUUUAAAAUCGUAUUUUAGUAUUGAGAGUAGAUCUUCUCGCUUCCGGGCAGAUCUGGCCUCGGAUCGGAAUUCGAUUUGUCUCACUUUCUUUACCACUUCAUUUACUGUAUUUUCAUAAGUUUAAGGUGUUAAGAUCCAUAGAUCUUCCCUAGAGGAUCUGUCAGAUUUCACCGUAAACAGGGCGACCUUGCAGUUUGAUGUCAAUGCAAUGGCUCUACUGAAAAUAUAUAUUGCAUGCGUGUGCAACUCAAUAGUCUUCCAAAACUCAAAGCCUAAAUGGAAAUCUGAGGGGCUAAUGUCUUCAAUAUCGACCACAACAGAGCACGUGGGAUGGUUAUCGAAUGGCCUUCUUCAACACUUUCUCCGCCUAAUCAUCACAGCUUGCCGAAAAAAAAUUUCACUCUGAUACCAUGUGAAAAUUUGGAGGAGUGAUUUGAAUGGAAACGAAUUUUCUUAUAAUACGUACUACCCAAAAGUGGGUAUUUGUAGAGAACACAAGAGUUUGAAAUCCCACAAUUGUAGGGAUUUAUACAGCAAUAAAAAUCCUAAAGGUUGCAAUCCCUUAAUUGUAGGGACCUAUACAUCAAUUCAAAUUGAAUGAGAUAGAACUCAUUCAAAUGUGGGCUGAGAAGGAAACGAUAAACUGAGGUUUAUCGAGUCUCUAGCCGUAAUACUCUCCCUCAAGUUAGUGUGCAUAAGUCGAUGACAUUCAACUUGGAUUGUAAAUAAGUAAAUUUCUCUUUUUUGAGAUGCUUGGUAAAUAUAUCUGCUCGUUGAUUACUUGUGUGGAGAUAUUGAGUUUGGAUGAUGUCUGCAAGUAACUUCUCACAAACAACAUGACAAUUCAACUCUAUGUGUUUGGUGUGUUCAUGAAACACAUGGUUGGAUGCAAUGUGUAAGGCAGCUUGAUUAUCGCAGUAAAGAAGCAUGGGCUAUGAAUGUGGAACUCCUAAAUCUUAAAGGAGAUUUUUAAGCCAAAUGAUUUCACACGUAGUGGUGGCCAUGGCCCGAUACUCGGCUUUCGCAGAUGAGCGAGAUACGGUAGAUUGUUUCUUGGUAUGCCAAGAGAUGGGGUUGUUUCCAAAAAAUAUACAAUAUCCGGUUAAAGAACGACGGGUAGUAAGGCAGCCGGCCCAGUCUGAGUCGCAAUAUGCAGAGAGCUGCAAGGAAUUUAACGAUGGCAUGAGGAUGCCGUUUCCGGGAUUUGAUUUUAAAUAUCUGAGAACACACAUAGCUGCAUCCAUAUGAGGUUGUCUCGGUGUUUGCAUGAUUUGACUGAAGACAUUGACAGAUAAUGUGAUUCCCGGCCGGGUAAUGGUUAAGUAAAUCAGACACCCAACAAGUCGUUGGAUAAGAGCUUGGGUCUGAAAGAAGAGCUCCAUUGUCUGCAUUGAGUUUCAGAUUUUGUUCCAUGGGAAAUGCAACGGGCUUGGCCGCAUAGAAACCGGGUUCGUUUGUUAAAUCUUAACUGCAAUUCGUUUAAUAUCCAUAACUACCCUUUUACACUUUAACCAAAGUUUUAAAAUUCGACCGAGUCGACUCUGAAUUAUUGGUAUUUGUGAGUUUUCCCUGUCAUGUGCUCCAUUUGAGUUUUUCCUAUCAUGUGCUCCAUUUCUCUCUUUUCUCCUUUUUCUGGAUUUUCCAAUGAAUUGUUUCUAGCUCUAAAUCAAACCUUAAUUUCAUAUUUUACCUAUAGUUCUCUGUCUCAUUAAGACUCUUAAUGAUGUUUAUAGUUCAAUUAGCUUUUUAUCUCCUUUUUUCUUAAUACAUUUUUUGUAUUUUUUCAAAUAUUUACCCCUCUUUAGACUCUAUAUGACUCAAAUGAGUCCACUCGGUUACUUAGCUUGUGUAAGGACCGAGUCCCAAAUCCGAGUCGAUUUUUUACGUGCUGCAUUUGACCUACUUACACCUCAAUAAAAGAAUACUAUUUUUGUAAUACUAACACUGUUGCUUGGUCUUUGUACCUUACAAAUGAACCAUAGUGGGGAUUAUUAAUAGAUAUCACAGGAAUUGUGGAAAAUCCUAGGGCACCCUCUUUUUUCCUAAAACACAAAACCUUGCUUUCAAAUGCUUGGAAUGUAAACAAUCGGAGGUCUCGGAAGGAUUAAUCCAAAUACCCACCAACAACUUUGAAAGCCUCCUUUUGCUUGUUUGGUUCAAUGUGAUAUCUGGUUGGAUUGGUCGAUCAAUUGAGGACUAGUUCUCCACGGUUUUGUGCUUAUAAGAUGAUAUUUCGAAAUUUGCUGGUUUGGAUUGAGAAUCGUGGAUCUAAAUCGGGAAUCAAUAGGGACUGACCUGAUUGUCAGUCGAAACUGGUAAUCGGUCCACUUCCCAAAGAAUCCCUCAAUUAUUUUAGAGAAUUGGACAAGUUAUGUUAGGGGUCACGAGUGUUUGAAUCGCCUUAAUCUCUCGGUUCCUACCCAUUUUAUUUUUCAGUGUAUUGAUUUUUUAAUUAAAAUUAUUACUUAAGUUUUUUUGGGAUGGGUUGUCAUAUUAGAGAAUAGGUCCAGUUUGCCAAUCUAGACUAAGUUUCUAAAAGGCGAAUUGGCCUAACUGAUGCGGUUUUAGAAACACAACUAUCAAGCAAUUAGGUUAUGCAUCGUUUGACAUAUUAAGUUAGUACUUAAGUAUUUUUGGGAUGGGUUAUCAGAUUAGAGAAUCGGUCCGGUUUGCCAAUCUAGACCAAAAUUCUAAAAGGCAGGUUAGCCCAGCUGAUGCGGUUUUAGAAACACAACUAUCAAGCAAUUAGGUUAAGCAUAAUUUGACAAAUUAAGUGCAUGCUAUUUCUUAUGAUAUAUUGGGUUGGAUACGAACAAGUUUGUUUAAGGAAUAGCAUAAUGGUGGUGAAUAAGUUUAUUGUAUGUUUUUUGAUAGGAUGAAGUUUUUAUAAGGCCUAGGCUUUAUGAAAAUAAAAUAAAGCCUUACCUCAUCUGAAAAGCACUUUCGACAACAUAAAUGUUCAUGAUGGAUCUAAAAUCAAUUUCCAACAACGAUAAUAAAAUUUGAAACUCAAAUAAUGGUACAGAUCUUGCUGAUUGAUGAAUACUUAUUUUUAGGUUGAAAUGGACGCCAUAGAUAAUUUGUUAUAAUAUAUACUAUUUUUAGAGCUUAAAAUCUUCUUCUUCUGUUUUCACAACUAUAAUGUUAAAACCAAAAUGAUUAAUAUAAAGGUUUUUCAAUGCUUGAAUUGUAAUUUUUGAUGAGUUAUGAGAUAAAGCUUUACUUAUUUUAAUAGGGCCACCGCCCUAUCAAACCAUUUUCCUUUUCGAUAUGUUUGUGAUUGUGAAUUUAGUUUUUUUAUCCUUUUGGUAUAUACAAUGCUUAUUUUCAAUAAUCUUUGUGAUGUGGGAGCAGCCAUCUAUAGUUUCAAAUUACAAAAGAGAUAAAUGUAACUAACUAAAAAGAGUGAGAACAUUAAAUGUUUCCCUCACCUGUCUCAAGCCCGGGUAAAUGAGGUGGGUUGUGUUAUGCAAUCAACGGCAAACUUUAUUAGGAUGGGGGCAUGAGUCCACACUAGAUAAGUAUAAAGUUAAGGUUUCCAAAAGUUAUGAAAAAGUAGUGGCGUGGUACUUAUAUUGGCGUGUUCUUUUAUCUUUAUAUACUGGUUAGUAUCAUGAAAAGAAAGGAAACUUGAGUGUUUAGAGAGAGAAAAUUGUAUAGAGAAUAAGUUUUGGUAGGAAAUUGAGUUUUAAGUCAUGGUUCUCUCAAGCAGGUAUCUCGUAAUUUUUUUUAUUUGAAUUAGUGAAAAAACAUUAAUCAUUUUCGUCAGUAAAUGUUGUCAUAUCUGUGACAAACCAUGUAAAAUCUAGUAUUCUUUUUGCUUUUUUUUUUUACUAUUUUAUUUUUGUGUUUGUUACUUCCUUGUUGUCAAAUCUACUUUCUCGUACUUUAUUUGUCAAAAAUCAACCCGCCUGGUUUUAGAGCCUCCAUGUAGAACAGGCGGUAUCAGAGCCUAGUUUUGGAUUGGCGGUAUGGCAGUAAAGAUUUCAACUGCAACGUUCAAGGUGGAAAAUUUUGAUCGUAAAAAUAAUUUCAAAUUUUGGUAAAUUAAUGUUCAAUAAUUUCUAAUGCAACAAAAUUUACAUAAAGCUUUAAAAGGAAAGUCAAAGAAACCAAAUUUCAUGAUAAAUGAGGAUUAGGAAGACUUAGAUUUAAAAGCUAUGAGCACUAUUUAAAUGUACAUAUCGAGUGAAGUGUUGUUUAAUAUCGUCAAUGAAAAUUUAGCAUCAAUUGAAGUAUUGUUUAAUAUCAUCAAUGAAAGUUUGACAUCAAACAUUUGGUUAAAGCUUGAGAUUUGUCUAUAAGGUGGUUUACAUGUUUCGUGGACUUUCUUGUGAAGAUGAUUUUUCUAUGUGCAAUAUUUGUUUACGAAAAUUAGUUCAAAAUGACAAAACCGCAACAGACAUAGCAUGUCUAUAGCGGGGCGAAACAAUGUUUAAAAUCUCUUCGAGGUGUUUUUAAGAGUUUUUCAUAUAUAUAUAUAUGGAAGCCACUACGUAACACCUAUGGGCAAAAAUGAAUAGUGUUUUCGCCCAUAAGUUCGGCGCCAUCCGAUUUUUUUAAACGGCGUGGAUUAAAAGACCGCAACGGACCUACUAUAUCUGUUGCAGUAAAAAAAUACACAGAAACCGCCACGGACCAUGCGUUGUCUCUUGCGGCUCCGUUCAAUAAAUCGUCGUGAUGGGGCGUAACACUGUUAUGUGUGUGUGUGAGCUUCCCUUUUGGAGGUCAGCCACCGAAUGACUUUCAAGGAAAAAAUUUAUAUAAGGAUGAGGCCUUAAAACAAAAACUUGUUGCAUGAUAAGCGGGUGCAAGAAUCUUGUGCCCACUGACUCACAAACGUCCAUCCUAACGAUGGACGUCGAGUAAAGUGUAUUGUCUUUAAACAACACACGAAAAGUGCACAAAAGAUUACCAAAAAAAUUACAUCUUUGUUAAGGGUGCGGUUUAUAUAAAACCGAGGCUCUAAACAAUCAAAAUAAAUUGCACAUUCAAAUAGUAUAAAAAAAAAAAGUGUAGAUUGAGCAGAUCAAUGAAAACUUGGAGAUCUUGAACAUUAACAGUCCAAAAAUACGUUUCAAUAUGCACAUUUUCCAAAACUUAAGAUCCAUUUUUUUCUCAUGUUCAUGCAUCUUGAUGUCGAGAUGAUUGAUUUGAGAAUAUUUGAGCAUCAAAACAACGUCUUCUAGUGAAACUUUUGAGGUGUUUUCUAAUUUGAUUGUUUAGAGCCUCGGCUCUAUAUAAACUUUUUUCUUAAUUUAAAACUUCAUUUUUGUUUUUAUAUUCAUGAUCGUCAUGGCACGGAUGAUGAAUCUAUCAAACAAUUAGAUAAAAAGUCCAUCUUUAAAAUGGAUCUUGGAGGGAGGCUGCAUUUGUACAUAUGAAUCGACUAACUCAUAGAAAUCUCAUCCUAAACAAAAUUAAGGUGCACCGCAAAAAAUCACUAGAACAGGUUUUUUCGGUGCCCAAAAAUCCUCAAAUCGAUCAUCUUGACCUCAAAAUGUGUGGACAUGAGAAAAAUAGAUUUCAAGUUUUAAAAAUAGUGCAUGUUGUAAUGCAUUUUUUUACCAUUCUAAUUUUCAAUGUCAUAAUUNNNNNNNNNNNNNNNNNNNNCCCUAUCCCCCUGUGUGCCUUGCCUCCCACGACUAUGAUUUCAUGACAACCGUUAUAUAGUAAUAUGAUGCAACAACCUUAAAAAACCAUCCUAUAGCCAUUUGUUUGAUCCAAAUUUUGAAACAUACACUCUUUUCAUUCUAAUGAACAAUCAUAAAAAAUAAAAAUAAAAAAAAUUUAAAACACAACCUAAAACAUAUUUUUUUAGCCCAAUUAACAUAGGCAGUUCAUUUUACGAGAUGCUUAGAUCCAGGCCUUAGAAGGAUUUUUUUCAUUUUUCAUUUUUUUUUGGAUGGCUUUAUUAUCAUUAGAUGAACAAUGUUAAAAAAUUAAAAAUAUAUAUAUAUAAAUUAUUUUAAGUUUAUAAAGGCUAAGAUCUUGAAAUUCAGAAAAUGAAUGGUCUAGAUUCAUUUUUAAGGGGGACUCGUGUGUAUUUAAAAUAUAUUUUUAAACAUAUUUUUCAAAAGAAAUUAUUAGGUUCUUUACCUUGACUCAAACUAAUCGGAUCCAAGUCCAAGUCAUUUUCAAAUCCAAAUCGAAUUGGAUACAGGUCAUUUUCAAAUCCAAAUCGAUACCCCACCUGACCCAUUGCCACCCCUUGCGGGAUAUCAUAUCCUACUAUGUGUCUCACAUCCUAGUACUAAAUGAUGUGAUUAAGUGAUCCACUAACUUGUGUCAAAUUUCAAGCUUCAAAAGCGCUUAAAAGUCCCUCAGGCCACACAACCUAUGACUUGCAUUUGCAUAAAUAAAGUGAGAUGUUUGUCCCUAGUAUAUUAAUCCAAGAAACUUUACCUUCUCAAAGCAACCAAGUGAAAAAGGACCAUAUGCUCAUGUAAUCAUAAAAACCUGAAAGCCUGAAAUCCAAAAGGGCAUCCUAUGGGCGCACACAUUCAUCUUUGGAAAAAGUUUAUUUUAAUCUUUAUACCUUAUUUUAAUGUAGGGAUUUUGAAUUCAAAGAAUUUUGUUCCUUAUAAAUGGAUUCAAACAAGAAAAGUUAUGUGAAAGAAGACGUCAGGGUCAGUGGGUCGAUUGAUUAGAUUACUGACUUUCUUCACAAUCAAAAGUCUUUGCCCAAGUGCAGGGAGAAAUAAAAACUUUAACAUUUAUUAUCGCAAUUCUUUUCAACAAAAAACAGAUGGCUAUUGAUGAGGGCUAUUAAUUGCUUCAGGUUAAUUUGUAAAAAUUAUAUUUAUUUGAAAAUUUAGGUAUCGAUAUUACUCUCACACCUAUAAUACCAUAAAAAAUGGCUUAUAAAAUUAAAUGAACCAAAAUCUCUUAAAUAUUUAAGAGUAUUUUUUUUUUUUGUCAAUUAAUGUUUUAAAUGAUUUCUUUUAUUGUUUGUGUGCGCCUGAGUGUGGUGCGGCAUAUCAGUUUAAUAUUUAGAAAACAAAUUCUUUGAAUUUGUUCAAUUUCUAAUUUGAACUGUCGGAAGGUGUUUGUACAACUAUAUCUACCAUAAUUCAUUUUAUAAUCUGAACCAAUGAUUUAGAAAUCGGCGAGUCGAACCGAACUCACUCGGUUCAACUCAAAAAUCGGCACAGCCCGUGCCAGUUCCAGUAAAAAACCGAGAACCGCCCGGUUCUAGAGUAAAACCGACGAUUCCUACGCAGUUCUGUCUGGUUCCCUCACGCAUGAGGCACGCACCACUCCCGCACGUGUAUACGUGUGACACGAGCGGUAUACACUCCCAUACACACUCCCAUAGUUAAGUUCACAUUUCUAAUUUGAACUGUCGAAAGGUGUUUGUACAGUCGAAAGGUGUUUGUACAGCUAUAUCUACCAUAUUUCAUUUUAUAAUCUGAACCAAUGAUUUAAAAAUCGGAGAGUCGAACCGGCCAUAAUUCAUUUUAUAAUCUAAACCAAUGAUUUAAAAAUCAACGAGUCGAACCGGACUCGCCCGGUUCAACUCGAGAAUCGGCACAGCUCAUGCCUGUUCCAGUACAAAAUCGGGAACCGCUCGGUUCUAGAGCAGAACCGUGUUUCCCACCCGGUUCUGUCCUGUUCCCUCACGCGUGAGGCACGUACCACUCCCACACGCACUCCCACACGUGCACCAGUUCUAGACAAUUCAGUCCUCAAAAACACCUUCACAUGUGUGUACACGUCACACGUGCGACACAGACCACUCCCACAUGUACCACACGUGGGACACGCACAUGCACACGUGCAUGUGCACAGAUGCCCUAGUGCUUUUACACUUGUGUUUAUCUUCCAAUUACAUAGUUAUUUAUAUAGCAUAUUUGAAUACUCNNNNNNNNNNNNNNNNNNNNNNNNNNNNNNNNNNNNNNNNNNNNNNNNNNNNNNNNNNNNNNNNNNNNNNNNNNNNNNNNNNNNNNNNNNNNNNNNNNNNNNNNNNNNNNNNNNNNNNNNNNNNNNNNNNNNNNNNNNNNNNNNNNNNNNNNNNNNNNNNNNNNNNNNNNNNNNNNNNNNNNNNNNNNNNNNNNNNNNNNNNNNNNNNNNNNNNNNNNNNNNNNNNNNNNNNNNNNNNNNNNNNNNNNNNNNNNNNNNNNNNNNNNNNNNNNNNNNNNNNNNNNNNNNNNNNNNNNNNNNNNNNNNNNNNNNNNNNNNNNNNNNNNNNNNNNNNNNNNNNNNNNNNNNNNNNNNNNNNNNNNNNNNNNNNNNNNNNNNNNNNNNNNNNNNNNNNNNNNNNNNNNNNNNNNNNNNNNNNNNNNNNNNNNNNNNNNNNNNNNNNNNNNNNNNNNNNNNNNNNNNNNNNNNNNNNNNNNNNNNNNNNNNNNNNNNNNNNNNNNNNNNNNNNNNNNNAGGCAAUUUUAAACACAUAUGCUAAGGAGGCAUGAUGGUUAUCACUAAUAUUAUUUGCUUUGACUUUUAAAGUUCAAAUCCCCCCUUAGGCCAUAUAAUUUUUGUUUCCCCUUGGACAUAUAAUAAAUUAAAGUGUUAUUUUCAACCCUUCUUGAGCUAAUUUUUGUUCCCCUUGAGCAUAUAAUAAAUUAAAGUGUUAUUUCUAAAAUUUGUACGCAUUUUAUUAAUUCUUACAUUGAUAAUCAAAUCUUUUAUUUUAUUUAUUAAUUUUUACAUUAUAAAUCAUGUAAUGUACUAUUUUUCUUACAUUGUCAAUCAUAUAUUUUAAAUUAGAUAAUAUUAUAAAUUUUUUAAAAUUUGUUAUUAUUUAUCUAAUAAAAUAAUUAUAAAAUGUAAACUAAUAAUUAUAAUUUCAGUAUAUAAUAUUAUAAUUAGUUAUGUUGUAAUAAUUUUGGAUUAUAGUUAGUUAGGCUGUAAUAAUUUAGGUUUUUUUAGCUGACUAGGGUUUUUUGCCAAAACAAGAUUUUAAUGGCCAUUCUUUCAUUGAUUUAGUCUAUUAUUUAUUAUAGUCCAUGUAUAAUUAUAUAUUUUAUCCAUGUUAAUUCUAUGAUUUUUCUUUUAUGUUAUGUAAAUUUAAUCCUUAAGUUUAUACAGGCAAAAAGCAUCUCAAUAUUCACAAAUUGAUGAAAAAAAUAAAAGGUAAUAAUGUAGUACCAUCAUUUUUUAUUGGAUUCCUAAAAAACAACAUUUAUAAUGAAUUUUAAUAAUUUUUUUAGAUUUUUUAAAGCUUUAAUCCGACCGAUCCAGUCGAUUUCCAAUCUAAAUCGUCGAUUCACCGAUCCGAAUCGAUUUUUGAGGUACCCCAUCCAAGUUACCGAUCCGCUUUUUAAACCAUUGAUCCGAAGUGUUGGAAGUGCUCGUGCCCUGAUUGAAAACAUAGGAAACCUCAAAUGGAAAGCAUAUUGAUUAUCCAUCAUACUGUUGGAAAUCUAUUGAGUUGCCGAUCAUCAUCAUGUCAUGUGAGUGAGACUUAAAGGGAAAAGCAUAGUAUGUUACUGCUGAGAAUCUAGUGUUGCGCCCAUCCUUAUCGAAUCCCUACGAGAGAGAGAGCGCUUGAGCAAUCAUAUAUAUUUAUUUGUCUUUUUACAUGUCCAAGUCAUUCUCCAUCGCCGUCCAUCCUUUGAAUCGAUAAUGAUAACAUUUUUUUGCCUAAUAUUUUAAUGCUUAUAUGGAUCAUAGCACAAUUUCUUUAUGGUAAAUUGUCCUCGGUUACUCAAUAUGUAAAGGGUGCGGUUUCCAUGAGGUUGCAACAUUAAACAAUCCAAUUAAGACGUAUCUUCAAAUUUGUUCAUAACCUAUAAUGUUGAUGUAAAACAUUCUUAAGAUUAUCUCAAAAUCUAUUUUCAUAUCUAAUUAUAAAUUUUUAAACUAUAAAAAUAGUUAAAAUCAAGUAGAUCUAUAAACAUAUGAAAAUUUAAAAAAUAGAUGGUCUAGAUAAUAUGUUGUAAGAUGCACUACUUUUGGGACUCAAGAUCCUUUUUUCUUUCAUAAUCAUAUAUCUCGAUGUCGAGAUACUCAAUUAGAGGUUUUUUAUUAAAAUAACAUUUUUCAAUAGAUUUUUGAGGUGCAUCCGUCGUUUUACAUUUUAAAGUUGCAACUUUAUAUAAACUUUUUCCAUAGAAUAAUGAUCCUAUAAGACCUCCCACACACCAAUGUAUAUAGGAUCCUAAAGGAUCACCAUUAAAUUUGACACGGGUCUUUAUAAAAGAAAUCUCAUAUCCAUGUGAACUUUUCUAGAUAUAUAUGUCAAUUUAAUGAUGAUUCUUUGGUGUCCUACCCACAUGAAUGUGGGAGGAUCUCAUAGGAUCAUUACUAUUUCGGAGUAAUAUGCAUAUAUAUUUUCCUCCCGUAUAAAGAAAGCAAACCACUUGAAAAUAUUUAACAUGUAAAAUAUAGGGAAAUUAUAAUUUGAGGGAUCUCUUACAAAAUCAUUAAAGGCAAAACAUCCGAAUUGGAGUUCACUUUUAAAAUUUUCAUUCACUGAGGUCUAAACUAUAUUUUUGAAAUGCCCAAAUUGACCCUAACUCGAUAAGGGUAUUUUAAUAGUUCAACUAGGAUGCCUUAAUCAAAUGAUAGGAGUACUCUUACUUGUAUAGGGUGGGUCAGUGACAAAUCAAAUGUACAUCCUAAGGAUAAAUAUAAAAAGAUAAUAGUCCCACAAAAAAAAUAAAAGAAAAAUAUAUUUGUAGACCCCAUGUUUAAUAUUCAUUUCUCUAUGGGUCCAAAGUUUUGAAAGGUAUCCUCUAACCUCCAACAUAUUUUAUUCAUUUUAUCCCUUUUUUUUGCCCAAACAAGUUUUAAAAAAUAUCAUUUUAAAAUCCCUCUUUCCCUCUCCCCCUUAUGUCCAAACCCCUCUCUCCCCAUUUCCCUCUCUCCCCAUUUUUCCCCAAGUAACAUAAGAUAUUGUUUUUCUCUUUCACGCAAUGGAUUUUAUUAUUACAAUGAUGCUCAUUGCGCUAUCAUUUUGAGCCCAACGUUCUUACAUAGCCAUGAUAGUGAUGAGGGCUCUCUCAGCUUUUAGGCAUGGAUUAUUCAUUGGGGCUUCUUAUGUUCAGGAGAUAUUUUUGCUCUCCAAGAGAAAAAUGCGAGAUCUUCACCAGUGUUUCUUUUUCUCAUGACUCUCUUUUUGAUACACGAAUAAAUAAAUAAAUAAUAUAUAUAUAUAUAUAUAUAUCAAAGCAUGCUAUGAGACCCCUGUCAUUCUACAAUAAACCCACAGUAAAAAGCUCAAAAGUUAUUUCACCAUUACCAUCACUCUUCUAAACAAAGCAAAAGAAACGAGAAACCCAAAUAAAACAAACAUCCAAAUUCUUCCGCAAACCAAACCCGAUAAAUUUAAACCCUAUAUACCGAAGGAGUUACUACUACACAUGGGGCUUCUUCAACUUUCAUCUCUUUCAGGGCUUCCAAAUGAAGAAGGUAAAGACGAGUUACCAGCAUGUGAUCCAUUCGCUCUCUCCUAUUUUCACAGUGGGCAAGGCAUCCACUGCUUCUUUCGUGGUGGGAGGAGUCCCAUAUCUUUCGGGAUCAUUCUCAGCUAAGUGUUGUAACAGAAGUACUGAAUCUACCAUGUGCAUGACUGACUCCCUAUAAGUUGUGUAGGUCCGACACAAACAAAUACUACUGAAGUUUAUAGUAUGAUAUCAAAAAUAUUAAAGAUAUCUAUAUAAAGUACAAAUUAAAAACAUCUAUUUAUUUAUUUUUACAUGUUAAUGUUUCCCAUACUAGAGAUUAUGUAUGUCUUAAAACAUGGUUCAAAAUCAUGGAAGGGGUGCAUAUCUCAUACCCGUUAGCCGACAAAAAAAAAAAACAUGACCUAAGUUGAGUCCCAAAUUCACAAUAAUACCUAUUGGGCUUUUAUUGCAUCGAGAAAGAGGUUUGAUUGUACAUCUUUUACAAAGUAUUCUCUGGAUAAUUUAAAUCUAAAUAAUUUGAUAUCGCCUAUAUGACAUGACCGAUAGAAAGAAAUAUUCCAAACCUCUAUUUUUGUCAUAUAUUUCAUGAGAAAUGAUCAUAUAAGAUGCUUCCCAACCCAUAUGUAUAAGACUUCAAAUGAUCAAUAUUAAAUUUGAUAUUGAUAUAUAAAAAAAUUAAAUUCCUCACUCGUGAUAAUUUGUCUAAAGAUCCGUAACAACUUUAAUAAUAAUCUUUUGAUAUCUUAUACAUACGGGUGAAAAAAAAUCCUAUAGGACCGUUACUCAUAUUUGAUACGAUAGAUGAUAUUAAACGAUCGGUUUUCAAGAUGGCUUAAUGGCGAAAUGAGAAGAACAUGCGUUUUUGACCGUACUGACAAGCUUACUUCUAAAAGUUAUUACAUUUCUCCAGGUGCUCACUGAGGGAUAUCCGUGAUAUUCUAUAUGAUUAUUGAGGGUAAAACUAUCCACUGCCUAAACGCACAGAAUGGGAGCAGCGUAGGCUUAUUUUUUGCUACUGUUCACGUGAUGAACAACAUACUUUUUUUUUUUUCACGAUAUUUUAUGCGAAUAUUCUGGGUAUUUUUAUUAAAUGCAACAAAUGGGCCCCAUCAGGCGACGGACAAUCCUCCGUACGAUAUGCCUUUAUUCUGCCUUCACGUCGAGACUGCAGACGAAGAGACGUUUUAAAUCUCUUGUGCCCCCUUUCGAGAUAAGGAGAUAAGUAUCCCGUCUACGUCACGUGUACCCUUUCAAGAUCCGACAGGGCUACAUUCAACAUGUAAAAGUUCAUCUCAUAAUUUUUUUUAUUUAAAUAAUAUCUUUUAUUUGAAUUUUUAAAUCUAUUUGCUUUUUUAUUAGAAUAACAGUAAUAUGAGACCCUUCCAUAGUAGAGCAUUAAGCCAUUGCCAUUAAAUUAUUUACAUACAUUUAGAGAAGUUACCAAUAAAUUUAUCCACCUAAAUCUUUCAUAUAUGUGAUAAUUUUUUUGGAAAUCUAUGUUCAAAUUUAAUAAUAAUAUUUUAAAAUAUGAUUCAUAUGAGUGUGGAAGGGUUUUGUCGUAUCAUUAUUUUUUUACAAAUAUAAUUAAAUAAUUAAAUAGCAAUAAUUUUAUAAAACCCUCCCACACCCAUGCGUAUAAAACUUUAAAAGAUCAGUAUUAAAUUUGGUACAGAUAUCUAGAAAAAUCAAAUCCCACACGAUAACUUUUGUAAAUAUUUGUACCAAAUUUAAUGGUAAUCAUUUGAGAUCCUACACACAUAAAUGUGGAAAGAUCUUAUAGGAUCAUUGUACAAGGAGGUCACAACUUACAACUACUCAUAUUCAUUAGAUGUCAAAUUGCAUGGCUUGAUAAUAAUUUUUUUUGAAAUUUUUUAUCUAAUCAAUGACACUUUGAUAAUUACUUAUUUUGAAAUCUAAAUAACAAUAAUAAUUGUGAUAUUUUUAUACAAAAGGUAAAUUGUAUGUUUGUAGAAAAUCCUACAAAUUUUUUCUUUUAUAACUCCAAAAACUUUUAUUUUUGCAACUUCCUCUAAGUCAAAGUAGGAUCUUUUACGACAAACACACCACAAUACAACGUAUAUUUUUUAGGAUAAUAAUUAAAAUAGUCUGACACACAUUGUACUGGACCAUGGACCAGUAUCAUUUAAAUCAAGUAAAAAUACGUGAGAAAAACAUCUAUUUCAAGAGGUAAUUUCAUUUUAAAACACACUACCCUUUACAUUUUAAAGAUAAUUAUAAAAAUAAAUACUUUUGAAAUUAAUAAUAUAGUUAUAAAAAAUAUCAAGGGAUGACAGGCCUAGAAAGUGUGUGGUCAUGAUGGGCAUUUAUGACUUUCCUUUUAAAAUACUUUUGUAUAGAGGGCUAGUGAUAUGAUGGCCGAUAUAUCGGAUCAGGAUUUAAAAUAUGUAAUAAUUAUUUUUAAAAAAUAACGGUGGAAAAUAUUUUGAUAGGUUGCUUCCUUCUGCACCAAAUAAUAUGUACUAUUUGAGUAAUAUGAAUUUCUCACAAAUGUUAACCAAAGAAAUUGCGGCAUGUAGAGCCCCAAUAAGUUUCAUUGGAAAAUGUGUUUUUGACAUUGAAAAUCUCUCAAAUUAAUAUAUCAAUCUCGAGUCUUCAAGAUGCAUGGAUGUGAAAAUAAAAAGAAAGGAUUUCUAAGUCUAGAAAAUAAUACAUUUAUUAUUGUAUUAUCUUAAUGUUUAUUUUUUAGAUUUUUAAAUGUUCAUAUGUUUGCCCCAUUUACCAAAAUUUUGAAGCUUUAAAUUUCAUAACUACACUGCAAACCAUAACAUGGAUUUAUGAUAGUGAAAUAACAUCUUUGGGCGUCAUUUAGGGUGUGUGUUACUUAAAUUAUUUGAAGUGCUAACCUUGUACCAGUGUAGUAACUCAGGCUCGCCCUAGCGAGCCUGAGUAUCCCCGAGUAAGUUGUCCCAUUCAAAAAUUUUAAGGAAAAAAAAAAAUUAGAAAAAAAAAUCUAUUUAUAAAAUAUUUUUUAUGUGUUCUAUCACUUUGACAAAGAUUGGAAAGUAUUGUGGCUAUAAAUAUUUAAUUUUAUAAUUUUUUUUCUUUUUGGGAUAUUUUGAAAAUACUUCCAAUCACAAAUUGAUUUGUUCAAAAUCUAUAUAUUUACUCCCUUUUAAAUCUCGUUUAGAUGUGUUUUGUCUAAUUUUACUUUAAAAGCAUAUUUCUGUUUUUUUUUUAAAUUUUUAUAAUUUUAAAAGACUAACUUUUUUUUAUAGCCGAGUACUUAACGGCCGAGUGUCGUUCAAUCGAACAUUGCCUUUUACAAGAAGGGUGUGGUUUGCAUAGAGGCUCUAAACAAUCGAAGUAGAGCCCACCUUUAGAUAGUGUUCAUAAAUUUGGUUUUAACAUUGAAAAUCUUUGUGAUUGCCUUAAAUAUAUUUUCUGUCUGAUUAUAAAAUUUAAGACCUAAAAAAUAACGUAGAUCAAGAAGAUCUAUGAAAAGUUGAAAAUCUUGAAAAUUUACGGUUUAAAAAUGCGUUACAAGUUGUACUACUUCUAAUUUUUUCACUAAUUAUAAAAUUUAAAACCUAAAAAAUAAUGCAGAUCAAAAAGAUCUAUAAAAAAAUUAAAAAUCUUAAAAAUUUACGAUUUAAAAAUGCGUUACAAGUUGGACUAUUUCUAAACUUGAAAUGCAAUGUUUUGUCACGUCGCAUCAAAACAGUCCCUCCUAGUGACAUUUUUUAGGGGGGCUCUAAUUUGAUUGUUUAGGGCCUCGGCCCUAUAUAAAUACUGCUUAACUUCUGUAAUAUAUUUUUAGAAGCCGUCACUUUAAUACAUAACGGCCAUUAUAAAAAGUUGCCAAUAUUGACCGAUAGGGAACGUUGAUUCCGUAAGGUACACGUUCGAUCUAUCAAAAACGACCGUUAUAUCUAACGUUUAAGCAUUUUGUUCGACUACUCCCGAAACAAAAUAAAUAACGAGGAAUCAUGAAAAAAAAUAUGGAGACAACAAUUUUGAAUGGAACAAAAAAUUGACCACCUAGAAAAACAAAAAAAGUCAUCGUAAACGAAUUGUAUAAAGUUGCCUCCUUAUACCAUAAAAAUAUGGAAUUGCAUAAGGUUGCCUCUUUAUACUAUAAAAAUAUGGGGCGCAUAUAAAAUUUACUUAAGAGGCGUCGUUUCGGUGUUGAAACCGGCUUGAAAAAUCACUUUUCAUCCUAGAGUAUAAAAUUUAAACUUUAAAGAAUUGUACAGAUCAAGUGAUUCAAUAAAUACUCGAAAAUCUUGAAAAUAAACGGUCUAGAAAACUAGUUAUAAGAUCCACUAUUUUUUGGACUUAGAAUUCUCUUUUUUUUAGGAGAGAAUUUUCCACUCGCCAAAAGAUUUCAUUCUCCCACAAAAGCAUGUUGUCAUGUCCGUUCAUCACAAUGUCGAGAUGAUCACUAGGAGGCUUCUUCAACGCCGAAACACUCUUCUCUAUACAAUUUUUGAGGUGCGCCUUACUUCAACAGUAUAAGGCUGCGGCUUUAUAUAAACUUUUUCCACUUAAAAUUUGUAUACAAAUUGUUACAAAGGAUAAUGAGGAGAUUUCAUUGGUUUAUACGAGGUCAAGAUAAUAAGUAAGACCAAUUAAUUGUGAAUAAAUCAUACUAACUUCAAAAUAUUAAUGAAAUCUACAUUUUUUUAAUAUCAAGGUUUUAAAAAAUAGAUCGGUGAUUCGAAUCGAUUACAUCCAUAUCCGUGUCGAAUUGGGAGAAUCGAUGGAUCGGAUCGAAAGAAUCACCAGAAUCGGUAAUUUUUGUUUCAAAUUUUUUAAAAUUAAUUCAAGAAGAAAUUGAUCAUCCUUUUUUUUUCUUUUAACUCGGUGAAAAAUCGAUCGAAAUCAGUGAAGAAUCGGCCGGACAUGGUGAAGAAUCAUCAGAAUCGGUAGUUCCGCAAAAAAAUCGACGAUUCUACUAUUUGGAACCACCUUUUUUUUACCUAAUCCGAAUUGCCUAAUCGGGUCACCGAUUUUUUAAACCUUCCUUUAUAUACGUACCGACGAAAACGCUUUGAUACUUCCUCCAAUGAUAAAAUUCGUGUGUGCCUUAUCCACUUGACACACGGUUAGGUUCUCUACCCACUAUCUUACCGACACUAGAAUAUUUCUUCAUUAGGGACAGAGCAGGUGACUUUUGAUUUUGAUUGAGAGUUGAAGAUAGAGACCAAAUGAUCUUGCAUCACUAAUAUAAAUUCAUAUUAAAAAGAAAGGUUUCUAUACUUUCCCUGAUCCAGCUGUCCAAUUUAAAUUAAGUAAGUUAAUGACUGAUUGAUCUAGAUUUUAUGUUUUAUAAUAUUUUAUUUUUAAUUAUUUUUUACAAAUUAUAUGAGUGAAAAUUUUGGCACAUGUUAUUUAAUGGGGCGCACCUCAAAAAAAAAUUAAAAUAUAUUUUGAUAAAAUAUAAUGUCCAAAAUGCCUGUAAAACUUUUAAAAGAAUUUUGGUCAUUUUACUUUAUUGAGUAUAUUUUUUUAUAUUUUUAACAGCUACGGGUUCAAGAGAGGAGUGGAUGCCCAAAAUUUGGUAUCAAAAUAUUUUUCAAAAAAACUACUAAAACUAAAUAAUAUAGAGGCAUGACAUUACGAUUGAGGCAAUCUUAACCGCCCAUUCAGAAUGGACUUUUGGACAGGGGAAUUAUAUAAGUUUUGUACAGUGAGAAAAAUAUAAAAAGCUCGAUGUAAUGAUUAUUUAUUAAAGUUGCAAUUUGCAAAUACUAACUAAGUGAAAAGUUUAUAUAAUGCAUCCACUUUGUAUUAUAAAAGUAAGGCUCACUUUGAAAAUCCUUCAUAUAGUGGUUGUUCUGAUACUCGAAAAACCCCUAAUUGAUCACAUCGGCUUUUAAAUUAUGAAAGUGCAAAAAAAAAAAAAAAAAAACAAAGGUCUUAAAUUUUAAAUUAUGAAAGUGCCAAAAAAAAAAAAAAAUCUUAAAAUUAGUAUAUCUUGUAACACAUUAAUGAGACCGUCUAUUUUCAAGAGGACCAUGUUUCUAUGCAACCAAGCCCGCAUAUUAAAAAAUACGGGCCUCUUAAUAAAUGUAUUUCUGAGAUGGAUUUUACGACUUAAUUUCUAACGACCUGUAAUCUCUAACAUAGAGAUCAUGAAUAUGAAUGAAUAGAUAAAUUUUAAAAACUAAAAAUAACAAUUCUAAUAAAAAAACAUUUGGACCAUUAGUGUCUAUUGUUUUUAUAUGGAACACCUACUUGCAUCCAUCUUUAACAAUGCUUUAUACUUUCUAGACUGUAUAUGUAGAAAAGCCGUCCAGCCCACAUAAAACAAUUUUUCUUUUCAAAAUUUUCAAAUGUUUAUGGAUAAACUCAAUAUGAACUAUUUUUUAAACUUCAAAUUUCAUGAUUAGAAGCGGAAAUAUCAUUUCUGAAAUCAAUACUACAUCUUUAAGUAGGUUUCGAAGUGAUACAUACUUGGACUAUUUAAGAUAAAUAAAUAGGAAAUGAGAACUUGGUGGUGGAACAACUUGGGCCGCUCUUUAAUAGAUACCUCAAAAUCAUAAUGAGAUGGGAUUUGAAGCAAAGCUUUUUAAGCCAUGAAAACACGUAGUUUCUUCAUUACAGUUAUUUCUAUGAAAUCAGGCCCAGCCUCAACUAACCGAUAAUUUUAGAGAGGCGGCCUUUUUUUUUGUUUACCCUGUUUCGACGCGGCUAACCCCGCGUAUGUAGAAAUACGGACCUAUUAAUAAAUUUAUUUUUUAUAUGUAUUUUUGGACUUAAUUUUUAAGGACAUGUAAUCUCUAACAUAGAGAUCAUAAGCAUGAAAAAAAAAAAAAUUUGAAAACUAAAAAUAAUAAUUCUACUAAAAAAAUAUUUGGAUCGUUAUUUUCCAUUGUUUUUAGAUGGAACACCUACUUGCAUCCAUUUUUAAGAUGGAUGCUUUACACUUUUUGGACCGCAUAUAUAAGCAUGCGAUCCAGCAUGUAUGAAACAUAUUCCUUUUUUUUUUUGGUGACUACACAGAGAGAUGGGCUUUUAACUACAAAAUUUUUCGUACAUUUACUCUAGGAGCAAAGAAGCGCGUGAUCGAGAGCCCAAAUUGGUACAUCAAAUGUGAAAUUUGACCGUCUGAGGUGUCAUAAAGUUCAACCUUCUUCUUCUCUUUCUUUUUUUUUUUUGCACUUUCAUAAUUUAAGAGCCGAUGUGAUCAAUUAGGUGUCAUAAAGUUCAACUUUUUUUUUGUUUUGUUUUUUUAACUCUAAGCAGAAUCGGUGGAAGCUCAAGGCCACUUAAUUUUAUCCAACAAUUAUAAUUGAUUGAGACUUUCUUGUGUACCAAAGAUAAAUAGUUUUAGGGUGUGGUUUUUAUAAGGUUUCAGCCAUAAACAAUUCAAUUAAGGCGUACCUCCAAAAUUUAUUUUGACAUGUAAUUUUGGUAUAAAAAGUUAUUAGUAUUAUUUGAAAAUCUAUUUUUAUCUCUAAUUAUAAAAUUUUACACUCCAAAUAUAAUUAAAAUCAAGUAGAUCUAUAAACAUAUGAAAAUCUUGGAAAUGGAGGGUUUAUGGCAAUGUUUUUGGGACUCAAAAUCUUUUUGUUUUCCAUAAUCAUACAUCGAUGUUGAGAUGAUCGAUUAGAGGGUUUUUCAAUAUUACAACGACUUUUCUUAAUGGAUUAUAUAAUUCUACAUUUUAAAGUUGCAACUUUAUAUAAACUUUUUCCAUAGUUUUAUCAUACAUAUAUAUAUAUUUCCCAUUAUAAACUGUCAAUCACAGUUCACACGGUUCACACCUCAUAAAAUCAUGAAAAUUUGCAAUUGAAGCAUAGAAAAACUUUUACAUCUCCCCUUUAAACAUUAUAGUUGGUGAAAAAUAUUUAAAAUUUAAAUAUAUAAAAAUAGUGUAUAUUGUAACAAAUUAUGUAGACAGUUCAUUUUGCUUUCAAAAUAAGUUUUGGAAGAUCAAUACUAUUUUUUGAAUUUCAAAUUUUAUUGCCGGUCUUGAACAUUGAUUUUAGAGCCGAAUGAGAAUUUGAGGUGAGCCUAGAAACUUCAUUCUUUUUUUGAAAGUAAACAUCCACUAAGUCCCAAAUUUUCACAAAACAAAAUUAUUCUCAGCAUGCUCCCCCAGGACCAUCCUAAAGUCACCAUAUGAAAACCAUUUUUUUGGGGUUAAAUUGGAGGUGCAGAUUCACUUUCUUCCGUAAGGCCUAGGCCUCAUCUCAGGCCUUCUCGAUCACUAUAAUAUUGAAACAUGGGCUGCUAACGAUAAUGAGGGUGAAUGUUACUAGACUGUGCUGACCACGUGCCCCUCCUUUUACCCUCAUCCUUUCACUUCUACUUUCUUUGUGGACCCAUUCGCCCGCCAUGAUUCUUCCUCUCUCGCUCUACUUUUCAAAGUUUUUAAAAUCGCAUUUCUUUAUUCAUAUCUAUUGGCAUAUAUCCAUUAAGAGUCUUUCUUUAACACAUCAGUCACAAGACUUUCUACCUCAUAUGUCUAUAAAUUCCCUACCCACCAUUGUUUUUCUUUCUGAACCAGAGCGUCCAGUUACUGUAAAAAGAAGAGGGAAGCUCGUGUUAAUGGCCGUCUCUAAAGGGUUUUUGGUGCUAUUGCCGCUUGCCUUUGUGGUGGCCAUAUCCACCAUUGCAACAGCUCAGAUAUCUGAUCUUCCUAUUGUGUCGGGGCUCUCAUGGAGUUUCUAUGAAUCUUCAUGCCCUAAACUUGAAGAAAUUGUUAGAAAGAGACUGAAACAGGUCUUCAAGAAGGACAUCACCCAAGCUGCCGGCUUGCUCCGUGUCCAUUUCCAUGACUGCUUUGUUCAGGUGACCGACUCUUUUUAACUUUUUUCUUUUUUUUUUGUUGGUGAUAUUUGCCUCUAUCUCAGUCAUUUUGUGUUGUAUUGGCGUCUCUCUCUCUAACGGUCUCACCCAAUACCUCUCUCGUGGUUGUUAAUGAGGCGGCAUAUGGGCCGCGUAACCCGCUCAAAAAAAACCAGGCUAAAACUAGGGCAGGACGAUGGCCCGGCCUUGUGCAGGGCAGAAAAACUAUGACCCGAUGGUAGGACCAGGCUGAAACAUGCCAAUCUCGGUUCGCCACAAGGCUUUUUAUUUUUUUUCUUUUUUUUUUUGGGUUAUAUGGCCGAACUGGCCUUAAUAGGAUUAUGGACCGGGCUUGUGCUCUCUCCAUGAGGCCGGGGAGAAAAGUCAUGGCCCGAGGGUAGGACUGGGCUAGGCUGGGUCCAUGGCCGGUUGGGUCCUCCCCAGACCUUUUUUUUUUUCUUUAUGUUUUUUAUUUGGCUUAGCCAGCCUUAAUAGGGCUAGGAGCCGGGCCUGGGACAGCCCCAUGGGACUAGGCUCCCGCCCGGUACCCCUCUGUUAAAAACAAAAAAAAAAAACUCUUUUUUUUUUUUUUGAAAAUGGGUUAAAUCAUCUUAUUUAUGUGAUUAUUUACGGGUGAAAAAUGUGUGUUUUUAGGGUUGCGAUGGGUCGGUAUUGUUGGAAGGAUCAGCAAGCGGGCCCGAUGAGAAGGAUGCGCCCCCCAACCUCACUCUGCGCCCCGAAGCCUUUAAAAUCAUUGAGGAUUUGAGAAGACGGGUUCACAAGAAGUGCGACCGCACCGUCUCCUGCUCAGAUAUCACUGCCCUUGCUGCUCGUGAAUCUGUUUUCCUCGUAUGACUCUUCCUUAUAUAUUCUCAUGUAUCAUCUUCCUUACUUUCUUUAUUUUUAUAUGAAGAGAGCGUAUCAGGUGAUAGUGAAAGCCACCAAAACAAAAGGGAGUUUUAUUUUACUUUUUCAAUGGCCCAAAAUUGGCGUUUUUUUCUUUUUUUCCCCCUUCCAAAAAGCAAUUUCAUUAGAAAAAGAAAAAAUUAUUGGAGUCCAGAAAUGCUCCAAAUCAACUCCCCUCGCAAAGAAGACAAGUCUUUGAACCGGAUGAGGACGAAUGUUUUUUAAGAACUCGAUAGUCUUUUCAAAAAUAUCCGGGUGAACGGGUGAUGAUCAUAAGAUUAUCUUUUUGCCAAAAAUAUUUUUUUUGCCAGAAGAUAUUUGUUUUUUAACGGGGAAUUUCCCUUUUUUUUCCUGAAGAUUUCAUUCUCCAAUAGGAGCAUACUAGCCAUUUAUUGUCUUAGAUAUAACCCGAAUAAUUGAAUAAAGCCCGAAUAAUUGUAUAACCCUUAUUUUGGGAGGUAAUUUUGACCCAUAACUAACUUCAAUAAAAAAGGAAGUGAUNNNNNNNNNNNNNNNNNNNNUAUUAGUAGGGCAGUACCUUAAAUCUUGGGGAACAAACAUGCUAAAGAAAAAACUAAAAAGCAAAAUGUAAAAAAUUAGUUAAAACUUGAGUUGUUCCAAGGGGCAAUAUUGAAAAAAAGUGAGUUGAUUGACCUUCUCUAUAAUUUCUUCAUAUAAAUAGAGCAUUUCAUAUUUGACUUAAAAUUUUAGGUUUUGUAUGUAAUUAUCACUCUACUAAUAACUUUGCGAGUGGCACGCUUUUAUGCUCUUAGAAAAAAUGAUCUCUUGGAUGAAUAGAAACAUUUUUUUUGAUAGUGAGAUCUAAGUGUUAGAAAGCUAAAAAUUCAAAAAAAAAAAUUCUUUUAAAAAUAACCAUACUAUAGUUCUUAGGUGGUUCCCAAAAUUUCGAAGUAGAGAGAAAAAAAUUCUUCCCAAAUAGGCCAUCUUGCCCAAAUAGAGUGGGUAUGGGAUAUUGUGGUUUUCCAUAGUACUUGUGAGGAAAAUUUGCUUAUAUUUUUCUCACUGUUUUGUUCUCUCCAUUGUCUGAUAUAGUUACUAUGUAAAAAUUGCCUAUUCUAUUUAUGGAUACCUCUCAAAUGAAUUUUGUAGGUAUUCUAUUUUCAAUAUUUUCAGCAUCGCACCUAUAUCUCAGUUUUUUUUUUUGGUUUUUCCUGAAGAAUUACAAAUACUCUAUUAUUUCAACUUUGGAUGCAUCCUACUCUUAAUAUUUUUUUGUAUUAUAUCUUAAACUCAGACACUUUUUUUUUUUUUACCUCCAGCCAAAUAGUCAAAAGCAUUUUGAUACCAAAAUACCAAUUUUUUUUUCUUUGCCCUUUUUCUUUUUCUUUCUUAUUUUAUUUUUGGUUGUCUUUAUAGACACAUGAGCCUUAUUUUUUUUCUCUACCUCCCUCCGUCCAUAUCUCUCUCUCUCGACCCACUUUCACUUUCUCCUGCGUUCUUUACCCUCCCUCGUUAUUUCUCUCUCUAGAAUUCACUUGUCCGUAAUGUGGUCCGACACCAUCACUCUUUUUUAGAGAGAAAAAAAAUGAAUGAGGGUAUAGAGAAAAAAAAAAUUAUAUUUUAAUCUUAAAACUAUUUGAUUGGGGAUAAAUACAAAAAAAAAAAUAAUGAUGUAAUUUAGGGUAUAAUACAUAAAGUAGUGAGAUUGAAUGGGUAGAAAGUUGAAAAAAAAAUUUCAUUGUUUUUAAAGACUAUCUGACCCUUUCCCUUUUUUUACCAUACCCGUUAAACGUCUCUCUCUCUACCUUUUCUGCGAACAAAAAAAAAAAAGAGGGUGGGCAGAGAGAUUUAAUGGCCAGACAAAGUGGAAUUUAGUCUUUAAAACAAAUUUUUUUUUUUUUAUCUAUGGGGGGAUAAAAAUGGCCAGAGAAAGUGGAGUUUAGUCUUGAAAAGAAUGUUUUUUUAAUUUAUUUAUUAUUAUUUAAUUUAUUUAUUAUUAUUAUAUCGGGGAUAAAAAUAGCAAUUUAAUAACAGGUGGGCUAUUAAAAAUAUUAGGGGGUAGAAUUCGGGGGAUAUUCAUAAUUUACUCUUCUAUUAAUAUUCAACAUAGUAGCAUAAUAUAGAAAUUUCAGUAUUCAAGGAAGAAGAACAAGUAAAUUAACCAUUAUCUUUUUCUAUAACAGAAGGGAAGACUAGAAGCACAAUAACGCUAAAAAAAGAGGUGAUAGCAAAAUAAAUAAAAAUCUCUGGUUUAAUGAAGAGUAACAAUUAACAAGGAAAUUUAAAGAAUUAUGUGCGUCUCUGAGUGAGGACCAAGAUCAGUGUCAAUGUAUUGCAUUGAGUUGAAACUUUGAUGAACAUGCGCAGGCGGGAGGCCCUGAAUACCCCAUUCCCCUCGGCCGACGUGACAGCCUCAACUUUGCGACUCAAGAAGCAACUUUGGCGAACCUCCCAGGCCCCACGUCCACCACCUCCGUCCUCCUGGAGGCCUAUGCCAACAAAAGCCUGGAUGCCACCGACCUCGUCGCCCUCUCAGGCGGCCACACCAUCGGCAUUUCACACUGCCCCUCCUUUGACAACCGCCUCUUCCCCUCCCAAGACCCCACCCUCGACAAAACCUUUGCAAAAAACCUCUACAAAAUUUGCCCCAUUUCCGAUACCAAUGCUACCACUGUGCUCGACAUUCGAACCCCAAACGUGUUUGAUAACAAAUACUAUGUUGACCUCAUG
RNAcentral lists this long non-coding RNA (35750 nucleotides) under Amborella trichopoda. RNAcentral describes it as "long non-coding RNA (ATRI_LNC003338)". The record is from RNAcentral. Lineage: Eukaryota; Viridiplantae; Streptophyta; Magnoliopsida; Amborellales; Amborellaceae.